CAGCCAUAUCACGUUGAAACACCUGUUCCUGUCUGAUGACCGAAGUUAAGCAAAGUCGUGUCUGGUUAGUACUUAGAUGGGUGACCGCUUGGAUAUGUUGGUGGUGUA
Molecule: non-coding RNA, 108 nt
Organism: Acanthosepion pharaonis
Lineage: Eukaryota; Metazoa; Mollusca; Cephalopoda; Sepiida; Sepiidae
Source: the annotation of a GenBank genome assembly